Molecule: transfer RNA, 74 nt
Filed under: Aquirufa nivalisilvae
Lineage: Bacteria; Pseudomonadati; Bacteroidota; Cytophagia; Cytophagales; Flectobacillaceae
Description: Cytophagaceae bacterium 59G-WUEMPEL tRNA-Gln
Rfam family: tRNA
About the family: Transfer RNA (tRNA) molecules are approximately 80 nucleotides in length. Their secondary structure includes four short double-helical elements and three loops (D, anti-codon, and T loops).
Source: RNAcentral
UGACCUAUGGUGUAAAGGUAACACAUCUGAUUUUGGUUCAGUCGUUCUAGGUUCGAAUCCUAGUAGGUCAACUA